This is a long non-coding RNA of Sebastes umbrosus (honeycomb rockfish), 389 nucleotides long. RefSeq lists it as uncharacterized. NCBI's taxonomy places the organism in Eukaryota, Metazoa, Chordata, Actinopteri, Perciformes, Sebastidae. The record is from RefSeq and is a predicted model, not a curated record. The transcript has 3 exons.
CAUCUAAACAACUGUGAAACUGCCACACAAGGCUUUCCUCAAGAUACCUGCCAGGAAAAAAAUAAACCUUCAUAUUAAAGGGACUGUUUGUAACUGUAACUUCUUACACGUACAAAUCAUUGCGAGUCGGUGUCCCAUGCGCGCUCGCGUGUGGCUACGCUGUUCAGACUCAGACUCCAACACAAACUACACGGAAGCACCAAAAAGUUCUAUCUAGUGAAGCCCGUCUGUUAAACAGUGUUGGUCGCAUUUGGAGGACGCGGGGGAGAUCGUAGCUUUGAUCUCCAGGUCCGGAGUCUCUGCUGUACUCUGCUCCUCUGCCUGCCUUCACUCACACACCGCGCUCGUUCACGCUCUUUCGCUCCAGAGUGGAAGAGGACACGUCUGAA